CAGCAGCCACGGUAAUACUGAGGGUGCGAGCGUUAAUCGGAUUUACUGGGCGUAAAGCGUGCGUAGGCGGCUUUUUAAGUCGGAUGUGAAAUCCCUGAGCUUAACUUAGGAAUUGCAUUCGAUACUGGGAAGCUAGAGUAUGGGAGAGGAUGGUAGAAUUCCAGGUGUAGCGGUGAAAUGCGUAGAGAUCUGGAGGAAUACCGAUGGCGAAGGCAGCCAUCUGGCCUAAUACUGACGCUGAGGUACGAAAGCAUGGGGAGCAAACAGGAUUAGAUACCCGAGUAGUCCCUGUCUCUAUACA
This 301-nucleotide ribosomal RNA is filed under the name uncultured bacterium. Its description in RNAcentral is "partial 16S ribosomal RNA". It matches the Rfam family "Bacterial small subunit ribosomal RNA", at positions 509 to 808 of the family's 1533-position model. The record is from RNAcentral.